AGCAGCCGCGGUAAUUCCAGCUCCAAUAGCGUAUAUUAAAGUUGUUGCAGUUAAAAAGCUCGUAGUUGAAUUUCGGGAUUGACACAUCGGUCGUGCCUUAAGGGGUAUGAACUGGUGUAGUCAAUUUCUCACCUUCUGGAGAACCGCGAUGUCCUUAAUUGGGUGCCGCGAGGAACCAGGACCUUUACUUUGAAAAAUUAGAGUGUUUAAAGCAGGCAUUUUUGCUUGAAUACAUUAGCAUGGAAUAAUAAAAUAGGACGGCAUGAUUCUAUUUUGUUGGUUUCUAGGAUCACCGUAAUGAUUAAUAGGGAUAGUUGGGGGCAUUAGUAUUCAAUUGUCAGAGGUGAAAUUCUUGGAUUUAUUGAAGACUAACUACUGCGAAAGCAUUUGCCAAGGAUGUUUUCAUUAAUCAAGAACGAAAGUUAGGGGAUCGAAGACGAUCAGAUACCG
This 450-nucleotide ribosomal RNA is filed under the name uncultured Glomeromycotina. Its description in RNAcentral is "SSU rRNA". It matches the Rfam family "Eukaryotic small subunit ribosomal RNA", at positions 569 to 1017 of the family's 1831-position model. The record is from RNAcentral. Lineage: Eukaryota; Fungi; Glomeromycota.